GAUGAACGCUGGCGGCGUGCUUAACACAUGCAAGUCGAACGAUGAAGCCCAGCUUGCUGGGUGGAUUAGUGGCGAACGGGUGAGUAACACGUGAGUAACCUGCCCUUAACUCUGGGAUAAUCCUGGGAAACUGGGUCUAAUACCGGAUAGGAGCGUCCACCGCAUGGUGGGUGUUGGAUAGAUUUAUCGGUUUUGGAUGGACUCGCGGCCUAUCAGCUUUUUGGUGAGGUAAUGGCUCACCAAGGCGACGACGGGUAGCCGGCCUGAGAGGGUGACCGGCCACACUGGGACUGAGAGACGGCCCAGACUCAUACGGGAGGCAGCAGUGGGGAAUAUUGCAAAAUGGGCGCAAGCCUGAUGCAGCGACGCCGCGUGAGGGAUGACGGCCUUCGGGUUGUAAACCUCUUUCAGUAGGGAAGAAGCGAAAGUGACGGUACCUGCAGAAGAAGCACCGGCUAACUACGUG
RNAcentral lists this ribosomal RNA (466 nucleotides) under uncultured bacterium. RNAcentral describes it as "partial 16S ribosomal RNA". It matches the Rfam family "Bacterial small subunit ribosomal RNA", at positions 28 to 507 of the family's 1533-position model. The record is from RNAcentral.